GGUUGUAGCUCAAUGGUAGAGCACUCACCUCUCACAUGUGAGGCACUGGGUUCGAUCCUCAGCACCA
Molecule: transfer RNA, 67 nt
Filed under: Marmota monax (woodchuck)
Lineage: Eukaryota; Metazoa; Chordata; Mammalia; Rodentia; Sciuridae
Description: tRNA.Glu
Rfam family: tRNA
About the family: Transfer RNA (tRNA) molecules are approximately 80 nucleotides in length. Their secondary structure includes four short double-helical elements and three loops (D, anti-codon, and T loops). Further hydrogen bonds mediate the characteristic L-shaped molecular structure. tRNAs have two regions of fundamental functional importance: the anti-codon, which is responsible for specific mRNA codon recognition, and the 3' end, to which the tRNAs corresponding amino acid is attached (by aminoacyl-tRNA synthetases). tRNAs cope with the degeneracy of the genetic code in two manners: having more than one tRNA (with a specific anti-codon) for a particular amino acid; and 'wobble' base-pairing, i.e. permitting non-standard base-pairing at the 3rd anti-codon position.
Source: RNAcentral